Molecule: transfer RNA, 90 nt
Filed under: Schaalia canis
Lineage: Bacteria; Bacillati; Actinomycetota; Actinomycetes; Actinomycetales; Actinomycetaceae
Description: Actinomyces canis tRNA-Ser
Rfam family: tRNA
About the family: Transfer RNA (tRNA) molecules are approximately 80 nucleotides in length. Their secondary structure includes four short double-helical elements and three loops (D, anti-codon, and T loops).
Source: RNAcentral
GGAGGGCUGACCGAGCGGCCGAAGGUGGUGGUCUUGAAAACCACUGUGUCAGCAAUGGCACCGGGGGUUCGAAUCCCUCGCCCUCCGCCA